GUUUAAUUAGUAUAAAAUAGUACAUUUAAUUUCCAAUUAAAAAGAUUUUUUAAAAUUAAACA
RNAcentral lists this transfer RNA (62 nucleotides) under Ixodes ovatus. Its description in RNAcentral is "tRNA-Gly". Lineage: Eukaryota; Metazoa; Arthropoda; Arachnida; Ixodida; Ixodidae. The record is from RNAcentral.